RNAcentral lists this ribosomal RNA (373 nucleotides) under uncultured organism. Its description in RNAcentral is "bacterial SSU rRNA". It matches the Rfam family "Bacterial small subunit ribosomal RNA", at positions 526 to 897 of the family's 1533-position model. The record is from RNAcentral.
CGAAGGGGGCUAGCGUUGUUCGGAAUUACUGGGCGUAAAGGGCGCGUAGGCGGCCUUGAUAGUUGGGCGUGAAAGGCCUGGGCUUAACCCGGGAACUGCGUUCAAUACUGCGAGGCUAGAGUGUGGGAGAGGUUGGUGGAAUUCCCAGUGUAGAGGUGAAAUUCGUAGAUAUUGGGAAGAACACCGGUGGCGAAGGCGGCCAACUGGACCACAACUGACGCUGAGGCGCGAAAGCGUGGGGAGCAAACAGGAUUAGAUACCCUGGUAGUCCACGCUGUAAACUAUGUGUGCUUGACGUCGGGGGGCCUAGCCCUUCGGUGUCGGAGCUAACGCGGUAAGCACACCGCCGUGGGGAGUACGGUCGCAAGAAUUA